UCCAGACUCCUACGGGAGGCAGCAGUGGGGAAUAUUGCACAAUGGGGGGAACCCUGAUGCAGCGACGCCGCGUGAGUGAAGAAGUAUUUCGGUAUGUAAAGCUCUCUCAGCAGGGAAGAUAAUGACGGUACCUGACUAAGAAGCCCCGGCUAACUACGUGCCAGCAGCCGCGGUAAUACGUAGGGGGCAAGCGUUAUCCGGAUUUACUGGGUGUAAAGGGUGCGUAGGUGGCAGGGCAAGUCAGAUGUGAAAGCCCGGGGCCCAACCCCUGGACUGCAUUGGAAACUGUAAAUCUUGAGUGCCGGAGAGGUAAGCGGAAUUCCUAGUGUAGCGGUGAAAUGCGUAGAUAUUAGGAGGAACACCAGUGGCGAAGGCGGCUUACUGGACGGUAACUGACGUUGAGGCUCGAAAGCGUGGGGAGCAAACAGGAUUAGAUACCCGUGUACU
Molecule: ribosomal RNA, 447 nt
Filed under: uncultured bacterium
Lineage: Bacteria
Description: bacterial SSU rRNA
Rfam family: Bacterial small subunit ribosomal RNA
Source: RNAcentral